UAUGGAGAAUUUGUCUUGCAAGUCGGGCUGACGACUUUAAACCAAGCGCUAAAUGGGAGGUGUUUUGGAGUCAUUGGAGCAAAAUGAAGUGAAACUCGCUUAAUUCCAGGAUUUCUUCUCAAUCAUCUUGAAGAGAACGAAAAUAUGAAGCUAGCGGCGAAAGAAUGAGGUCAAGCCGACUUUGUAUGAUAAAGUUAGAGCAAAAUUUAUGAUUAAGCUUGUCAGUUCCCUAUAACUGACAGUACAAGAAGAGUUAAUGAAUUAUGGAGGAAUCUGAACUGUCAGUCUCCAAUGACCGACAGUAGGACGGAAAAUGUUACACCACGGGUGGCCCAUAUCCAUCUACUGGGUGUCAAUAGUAAUUCCAUGUGUUGUAACCCAACAAGGUCGAGAGAGGGAGAGAGGGAGAGUUGGGGUUCAUUUCCCCCAUUUCUCCUCAUUUUCUUUAUCUACUCUCUGAUGCUGCUCUGUGAAGAAAUGGAGGCGUUGUUAAUGGCGGAAGUCGAGAAGAAUUAUGAAUCAGAGAAGUGAGGAGAAGAGAUGAUGCAGUUUCGUUGAGAUGAUGGGAUUCGAAGUUGGAUUGAUGCGAAAUUAGGGUCUUGAUGGAAUCGAAGAAAGGGGAUCUGCUGUUAAUUUGAUAGCAGAAGAAGAUUGAUGAAAAAUUAGAAGGAACUGAAGAUUGGGUUCAAGUUAUUAACCGAGAUGAGUGUAAAGAUGAUGGUAUUGCUGCUAGUGUUGGUGAUAAAGACAUGAGAUUGAGGAGAGAACAGGGAAGAUAAGGAAUUGAAGGUCAGAUGAGAAUCAGUUGGUUACUGCUUGAGUAUGAAGAAAGAAGCUUGUUCUGGAAAUUGAAAUGGAGGGAAUACCUGGUUGUUUAUAUUGGCAGGGUAUGAAAUUGAGAUGGGGUUCGAACUGAGUUGAGGAUUGGAUGGAUGGAGAUGAGGAAAAAUGGGUUUUGGCUCGGGAUUGAACUGAAAAAGAGAGAAUGAUGAACUCAGAUGAAGAAUUUGCUAUACAUGGAAGAGUGAAGGCUGGCAGCUUGGUUGUGUUGCAGAAGUGCAGGUUGUGCUGAGUAAGUGCAUCUUGAGAUGGAGAUUGGCUCAAGUGUGUUGCUGUAUAUUGUUGCCUGAAAUGAAUUGCAGGUGGAGUUGUGAGAUUUCAGGUGUUGGUGCUUUGUUCUGGUGGUUAUGAGCUGCUCCAGAUGAUGCUGUUGCAGUUGCAGUCUAGAGCUAGUGUGCUUGAGGUGACUAAGAAGAUGGUUGCAGCUGCGAUUCAAGUGGUGGUCCUGAUCUGGGUAUGUUUGCAGAGUGAAGUCAGCUGGGAGAUUGUGCUGCCAGGGAUGUUUACAAGGGUUUGAUGGUUGGCGAUACAGGAUUGUGACUGCAAUCAAUGGGCAUGAAUUAGAAUUAAUGGCUGAAGUGGUUUGAGGAGUGCUAUGCUGAGAAGAAGGCAGUUACGGUGCUGGUAUUGAACUGCAGAUGGAGCUACUAUUGAGGUUCGUGGUUUGUUGGUGGGAUUGAUCAGUGAAGGUUAGAGUUUGCCAUGGGUUGCAGUUCAGAAUUGUGAGUUGUUUGAAACCAAGGUACCAGGGAAGACAAAUUGAUAUUGGCAGUGUUGCAGUGGUGGUUGAAUUGAUAUUGCAGACUAGUAUAAGUUGCAGAAUGGUCGAGGUUGGUGCUGUUGUUGGUUAUUGUAAGCAGCUGCUGAAGGAUAUGGUCUGGUACAAGUUAGAAAGGAACUGAAAUUGCAGCUGAAGUCUCAGGAAUGCAGUGAUACAGCAGUGUGUAUGCGGUUCAGGUGGAGAUGGGAUUACUAGAGAUGGCUGUGAUUUUUGCUGUCAGUUGAAGGCAUAUACUGUCAGUUCCAGCAAACUGAUAAGCCAUUGAUGAUGAAUGGGCUGGGCCUGUUCAGUUUUAUUAUGACCCACUUGAUACUUCAACUGCUAUUUCUCACGACCAGUUUGGGCGUGAUGAAGGGGCCUAUAAAAGAAACACCAGGACCUCUAUUUGGAGGAUAUAUAUAUCUUUUAUCUCUUCUUCUACUUUUAUUUAGGGUUUAGAAAUAUGAUAGGUUUUCUCUUCCUUCUUGUUAUGAACUCCAUGAACAUGAGCUAAGUUUUUAUUAUUGGUUAUAAAAUAAUUUGAUUUCACACAACAUGAU
Molecule: long non-coding RNA, 2160 nt
Organism: Papaver somniferum (opium poppy)
Lineage: Eukaryota; Viridiplantae; Streptophyta; Magnoliopsida; Ranunculales; Papaveraceae
Exons: 2
Source: RefSeq, a predicted model, not a curated record